UGUUUGGACAGCUCCAAGGUUGGUAAUAGG
RNAcentral lists this non-coding RNA (30 nucleotides) under Mus musculus (house mouse). The record is from RNAcentral. Lineage: Eukaryota; Metazoa; Chordata; Mammalia; Rodentia; Muridae.